GCCAGACUCCUACGGGAGGCAGCAGUGGGGAAUAUUGCACAAUGGGGGGAACCCUGAUGCAGCGACGCCGCGUGAGUGAAGAAGUAUUUCGGUAUGUAAAGCUCUAUCAGCAGGGAAGAUAAUGACGGUACCUGACUAAGAAGCCCCGGCUAACUACGUGCCAGCAGCCGCGGUAAUACGUAGGGGGCAAGCGUUAUCCGGAUUUACUGGGUGUAAAGGGUGCGUAGGUGGCAGGGCAAGUCAGAUGUGAAAGCCCGGGGCCCAACCCCGGUACUGCAUUUGAAACUGUCCGGCUGGAGUGCAGGAGAGGUAAGCGGAAUUCCUAGUGUAGCGGUGAAAUGCGUAGAUAUUAGGAGGAACACCAGUGGCGAAGGCGGCUUACUGGACUGUAACUGACACUGAGGCACGAAAGCGUGGGGAGCAAACAGGAUUAGAUACCCCGGUA
This 445-nucleotide ribosomal RNA is filed under the name uncultured bacterium. RNAcentral describes it as "bacterial SSU rRNA". It matches the Rfam family "Bacterial small subunit ribosomal RNA", at positions 330 to 792 of the family's 1533-position model. The record is from RNAcentral.